This 439-nucleotide ribosomal RNA is filed under the name uncultured bacterium. RNAcentral's name for it is "partial 16S ribosomal RNA". It matches the Rfam family "Bacterial small subunit ribosomal RNA", at positions 338 to 795 of the family's 1533-position model. The record is from RNAcentral.
CCUACGGGUGGCUGCAGUGGGGGAUAUUGCACAAUGGGGGAAACCCUGAUGCAGCGAUGCCGCGUGAAUGAAGACGGCCUUCGGGUUGUAAAGUUCUGUCGCAGGGGACGAAAAUGACGGUACCCUGCAAGAAAGCUCCGGCUAACUACGUGCCAGCAGCCGCGGUAAUACGUAGGGAGCAAGCGUUGUCCGGAAUUACUGGGUGUAAAGGGAGCGUAGGCGGGAGGAUAAGUUGAAUGUGAAAUCUAUGGGCUCAACCCAUAGCUGCGUUCAAAACUGUUCUUCUUGAGUGAAGUAGAGGCAGGCGGAAUUCCUAGUGUAGCGGUGAAAUGCUUAGAGAUCAUACAGAACACCGAUUGCGAAGGCAGCUUACCAAGCUACUUCUGACGUUGAGGCACGAAAGCGUGGGGAGCAAACAGGAUUAGAUACCCCUGUAGUC